Molecule: non-coding RNA, 283 nt
Organism: Camellia sinensis
Lineage: Eukaryota; Viridiplantae; Streptophyta; Magnoliopsida; Ericales; Theaceae
Source: RefSeq, a predicted model, not a curated record
UUUCGUUUUCUUCAAUAUUAUAUUCAUUUGGGGCGUUUAUAUUGGAUUGGUUCGACAAGGUCCCUCUUUCUUCUCAUCAUUUCACCUUUGCUAGACGUUAUACUCAAUGCAGAGUUCUCUAUGCUCGUGAUUGGUCUAUGCAGUAUCCUGACAACAGACCCUGGUUAUGUUACAAAUGAAUCUUCCCAUCAUAACCAGCUUGUUGAGAGUCCUGUCUCAGUAUUUGAAGCCCAUUCUGAGGAACUGGUGCCUUCAACUCGUGACGUUCCCUAUGAGUUUGUUG